UACAGAGGGUGCAAGCGUUAAUCGGAAUUACUGGGCGUAAAGCGUGCGUAGACGGUUAUUUAAGUCAGGUGUGAAAUCCCCGGGCUUAACCUGGGAACUGCAUUUGUGACUGCAUGGCUGGAGUGCGGCAGAGGGGGAUGGAAUUCCGCGUGUAGCAGUGAAAUGCGUAGAUAUGCGGAGGAACACCGAUGGCGAAGGCAAUCCCCUGGGCCUGCACUGACGCCUCAUGCACGAAAGCGUGGGGAGCAAACAGG
RNAcentral lists this ribosomal RNA (254 nucleotides) under uncultured bacterium. Its description in RNAcentral is "partial 16S ribosomal RNA". It matches the Rfam family "Bacterial small subunit ribosomal RNA", at positions 524 to 776 of the family's 1533-position model. The record is from RNAcentral.